AUCAACCAUCAAGCCUGGCUUGUUGUUGGACUUUACUGCUGAAAUAUGUGGCAGGUCCGAAAAAUAAUGACGGUGUCGUGUUUGACCCUAAAUGCAACGAGCUUUUUAUAAGCACGCAUUGAAGUGGUUAACCGGCCUAGUCUUUACCAUCAUUUUCUAAGGUUGACCUCGGAUCAGGUAGGAAUACCCGCUGAACUUAA
Molecule: unclassified non-coding RNA, 200 nt
Filed under: soil metagenome
Description: partial contains internal transcribed spacer 2 and large subunit ribosomal RNA
Source: RNAcentral